This 253-nucleotide ribosomal RNA is filed under the name uncultured bacterium. RNAcentral describes it as "partial 16S ribosomal RNA". It matches the Rfam family "Bacterial small subunit ribosomal RNA", at positions 524 to 776 of the family's 1533-position model. The record is from RNAcentral.
UACAGAGGUCCCAAGCGUUGUUCGGAUUCACUGGGCGUAAAGGGUGCGCAGGUGGGUUUGCAAGUUCGAUGUGAAAGCCCCGGGCUUAACCUGGGAAUGGCAUUUGGGACUGCAAGGCUUGAGUGCGGCAGAGGAGACUGGAAUUCCUGGUGUAGCAGUGAAAUGCGUAGAUAUCAGGAGGAAUACCGAUGGCGAAGGCAGGUCUCUGGGCUGACACUGACGCUCAUGCACGAAAGCGUGGGGAGCAAACAGG